GACGAACGCUGGCGGCGUGCUUAACACAUGCAAGUCGAACGGAAAGGCCCUGCUUUUGUGGGGUGCUCGAGUGGCGAACGGGUGAGUAACACGUGAGUAACCUGCCCUUGACUUUGGGAUAACUUCAGGAAACUGGGGCUAAUACCGGAUAGGAGCUCCUGCUGCAUGGUGGGGGUUGGAAAGUUUCUGCGGUUGGGGAUGGACUCGCGGCUUAUCAGCUUGUUGGUGGGGUAGUGGCUUACCAAGGCUUUGACGGGUAGCCGGCCUGAGAGGGUGACCGGCCACAUUGGGCCUGAGAUACGGCCCAGACUCCUACGGGAGGCAGCAGUGGGGAAUAUUGCACAAUGGGCGGAAGCCUGAUGCAGCAACGCCGCGUGCGGGAUGACGGCCUGCGGGUUGUAAACCGCUUUCGCCUGUGACGAAGCGUGAGUGACGGUAAUGGGUAAAGAAGCACCGGCUAACUACGUG
RNAcentral lists this ribosomal RNA (468 nucleotides) under uncultured bacterium. RNAcentral's name for it is "partial 16S ribosomal RNA". It matches the Rfam family "Bacterial small subunit ribosomal RNA", at positions 28 to 507 of the family's 1533-position model. The record is from RNAcentral.